ACAGGCGAGGGCGUUCGGCGACGUUACUGGGGCUGCACGGUGCUUGUAGCUGGGCAGUCUUAUCAUCAGAGUGGAGCCUGGUAACCACGACCUCCCCGCCAGGUCCUGUGUGUUGCUAGCUGGAGAAGGGUAGUUGAAAACUCAGACCAAGCACAGUGUUUAUAUCGGUCAAAACUGGAAAACUAUGUCCGGGCGCAGCCGAGGCUGGAGGAUCCCUUCAGGCCAAGAGCAACCUAGCAAUAUGGCGCGACCGGAUCUCUGUAGUCCUACCUCAACCCCCAGCUACUUGAACCCCAAGGUUGAAGGCUCCAGUGAGCUAUGAUCCCACCACAGCAUUGCAGCCUGCCAGACUGAGGGCUUGAGGAUCAGCCAGGUUUCAUGAGUUCAAUGCAGACCUGAAUCAUACCAAGCUGAGACUGGGGUACACACUCUCCUCUACUGAAAAGUAGUGAGGGAUUCCAACUUGGUGAGAGGGAGAGUGGGGGAGAGCCAGACCAGACAAGAGUGCUCACCUGGAAAAAGCCUGCCAUCAAAGGCCAUGACAUGAACUUAUGAAUUCAACACAUGAAGACUUACAACUUGAUAAACCAGCUUCAGGAGAUUGAGAAAACUUGUAUUCCUGUGAUUUCGAUAGUGAAGGAAGUAUGGUAUACCAGAAUCACUAAAUUAUGAAAGAUGGUAGAUCAGCUUUUUGCAAAAAAAUUUGGUUCCUGAAAGGGAGAGAGGAAAUCUUCGAUUUUUCAUGGCUGUGAACCACUGCAAGUAUUGAAGAAAUAUUUACUACUUCCAGCCUCAUAAUCCUGCAGUCAUUUGGCACCUCUGAAGCCUUGGGGAGCACUGAAGCCAAGGCUGCACCGUACCAAAAAUUUGAAACAUGUGAAUGAGCUGAAUGUGGAAGGACUACCGGAAAACACUCCUUUCAGAAUCCCCUCAUUGCAUGAAAUCCCAAGGCUCGAAAACAUCUUUCAAGUGAGCAAUUGAAUUAAGUUUGUUAUUAAGAGUAACUCCAGUUAGCCUCCAUUGUCUCCAAGCCGGCUUUUGUCCUCAUCCACAACGCCUCCACACAAGCUCUGAACACCUGUCCAUGCUAUAAUAGGCCCAGGAAUCUGUACUUCGAAUGUUUCUUCAGUUGGUCUAACUCACACAAGAACGGUGAUUCAUCAUAGCUCAAGGAGAUGUGCUGAAGUGUUUGCAUCCAUCGACAGCAUGCACAGGACUAUUGCUGAACUUCAUUUUGUGCUAACUUGAGACUGCCAUGCUGUUAGGAAGUUCAAGUUCACCACAUGGAGAUGAAAUAAGAUAUCAUGAUAAACAUCCCCAGCUGAUCCCAGCCUCCAGUGAUCCAUCAACUACAUAUAUGAUCCUAAGUCACAUGUGUGACCCCGAGCAAGAUCAGCAGAACAAUCACUCAGCCAACCCACAGAACCCUGAAAAAAUAUAAAUCAUUAUAGUUUAAACCACAAGUUUUGGGUAGCUUGUUAUGCUGCUAUUGAUAAUUAAAACAAACUGGAAUAUUUUCAUCUA
Molecule: long non-coding RNA, 1524 nt
Filed under: Homo sapiens (human)
Lineage: Eukaryota; Metazoa; Chordata; Mammalia; Primates; Hominidae
Description: HSALNT0362753
Source: RNAcentral